AAUCGAGAAAAGUGGCCAUCACUGCACUGGGCACCUCACCCUUUUUAACAGACAUCGCGAUACUAUAUUGCGUGGUAUGAAAUGCAGAGAAACUGCAAAACAAUAUCCACCAAAUAAUUCCCACAUACUCCUACAGCCGUCUGCAGUGCUGCUAUUCCUUAUAAUGCGUGCAGACAAAAACGUCAUGACUCUACCGGUCGGCUGUCCGUUCAAAUGGGUCUACAGUGGGCAGAAACGCUCCAAACGCGGGAUUAAAUAGUGAUCGGUGACUGAGCUGUCUGAAAAUUUGGAUUUCGGCUAAACUUGUGGUACUCUUUUAAGGUAUUAAUGUUGUAGACAUGUGACAGCAGGGAAACUUGGUGGUAAGAGUGAUAUUUUUCAAAAUGAUGGGGAAAGCACAAGAAAAAGUAACAAAAUUGCUUCAAAUGUUGGUUCAGUUUAUUUUAUUUAGAAAAUGUAAUGCAGAGAGAAAAUUUUUGGCGAUAUAUAGGUCAUUUUCGGAAUUAUAAACCCCUUAAAAAUGGUAAAUUUGAGAAAAAAUCAACUAAAAAUACGUGUUUUUUUUAACUACAAGUCUGGAGGGUCAUCCACAUCACUCUCCUCUCUAUCAAUAACAAGUGGCAUGGUUUUUAGCCCGCCCUUCUGCUUUGGAAAAGCUAUCUAGCGGGCUUAUGCGAACGACCUCGCGUCUGUCUGUCUGUUCCACCAAAAGGAGAUGUGUUGGGGACUUCAAAACGAAACGCCUACGGCAAAUCCUGGCAACCACCUCUAAGGGGCUGAAAGGGAGUAUCAAAGAAAAUGAAGCAGGUCAAAAAAAGUCAGCAAAAAAAAUAUUUUCAUGAUCUCUGAAGAGGUAACUCAUCAAAGUAGAGCCCUUUGGCCGAACAUUUUGUCCGUUUGGCUCUAUUUCUAACCGUUUAGGCGCUGGAGGGUCAUUUUUAACGAAAAUAAGGGCCCAUUUACGAUCGUCCGGGGUGUCUUAAAUGAAAUUGAAUUUCCAGCAGAAAUUCAUUAAUUUUUGGAGUUAAAUGGGACCCCCCAUUUACGGUGGUUCUUAGCUUAAAUAAUAUUUUAGUUCCCGCCAUGACAGAAUCGAUUGUCACUUGUCGUCGGCGCCAUCUUUGUUUAGUCUCGUCUUGGCCUCUGAUUGGCUGUUGCGAAACGUCGUGCCCGAAAUCCGAAUUUUAUUUAAGCUAAGGACUAGCUUAAAUGAAAUGAAGACCAUCACGACGGUCUUCAUUUCAUUUAAGCGUGAGCCGUAUUUCGACAUGAAAUGAAUUUCAUUUCAGGGGCUGGCAUCGUAGAUACUCCCAUAAGCCACAACGCGUUGGUCAAUUUAAUUUAAGAUUCCGCGAACGAUCGUAAAUGGGCCCUUAGCUAAAAAUUGCUGUAGUUAACAAUUAGUUGUAUAAGAAGGCCUGAAAACCGCAAAAGAGGAAGGAAACUCCCACACCCCACCCCAAAACCGUCGACGGUAUUGAGGCGUGUGAGGACCAAGUUAUGUCCCUCACGCACUGCUUCGAGGUGCUAGUGGAAAUAAUUUUUCUGACAGACAUUGAGUACAACGAGGACGUGUGCCUCUCAUGGAAGCUGCUUGCUGAGGUUGUCAUGGGCUGCCAUGAACCUGUGCCUAUGGUGCAGGAUAAGAAGAAGGUGAAGAAAGGACUUGGAAUGGGAAGGGGUGGGUCGUCGUUCCUAAUAGCGCAGAAGAUUCUGCUAGGGAGGCAAUGAAAGAAACAUCUUGGUGUAAUGGAUUGUCUCUAUUCACGUUCCAGGUUGUCAUGGGCUGCCAUGAACCUGUGCCUCUUGUGCACGAUAAGGAGAACGUGUUGAUGUGGAUUGCACAUUUUUUAUUAUUACUCUAUCAUUUUCGUGUCAUUAACUGUUGGUUGGCAUUGUACCAUUUCUGAAAUGUCACUGUACAAUGUGUAGUGUACUUCUGCCCCUGUUUUAAAACUGCAUCCAUGAAAUUAGCAAUUAAAGCACGUUACUGUCUUCCCACGCGGACUCCUUUUUCCGCUGUACCAGAUCCCCGCUGCAUCCGCUGCAGGCAGCCUGAACGACACAUGCAGAUCGCAGAAACAUAACACACAGAUUCUAAUUUCUGAUAAAAUAUUUAUUGAUUUCAUUUCAUUAUAUUUACAUACAUCAAAUAAUAAUUCAGCCCCUUACUCAUCAACUCCAAAACCUGUGACUAGACAUUUACGAGCAAUCCUACUUCUCUUGCGUAGAGGUGUACAAGGAAGCUCCCUGCCAGCAAUAUCCUCGGUAUUACCUUUUCGCUUCUUUAUUCCCAGUUGUCCAUGGAUAUGCUUGUUCAUAUUAUGCAUGAAGCGUAACUUGUCAGGAUUCUUACUCCCUCCACAGGCAGCCCUCUGCUGACUAAAAUACUGCUCAAGGUUUGUCUUCGCAGUAAACUCGAGCCAUUAUAAAUUUUGUACCUACUUCAGGUGACAAGAGGAAAUCCAGGGCUCCUUUAAACCCCCUGACAGUCAUUUCAAUUCCUCUCAAGGUAUGUGGACUGAGGAGCAUGGCAGCUUUCUCUUGUGGUGUGUACCCUGAGAGAGCGGCCACUUCUUCUUUCCAUUCUCUUAAGUACGUAAGGUAAUCCUCCAGUUUCUGAAAACGCUCAUCUUCCAUAGAUUUGUUAGGGGCUAAAUUAUUAUUCAAUUCCCGCCGAUGCUGAUCCGAAUGCGCACCAUGAAGGCAGUCAAAAAAUUCAUUGGUUUUACUUUAAAAGAGGUGUCUCUUUGGUAUUUGGCCAUUACAAUUCAUCUAAUGCAUUGGCCACACUUUGACUUAAAACUCUAAAAGCUAAUUUAGUUUGACAAGAAAAUCUGUUCAAAUACACACACACUGCAGUAAGUUUAUGAAGUUUCUUCACAGUUUGUGUUGAUUUCAACUUGAACAGAUCCACAAUUGUUGACCAUAAAAUAAAGUCUUCAUUUGGAGAUGGCUGCAACUCGUAUCAGACGGAUGAAGAUUACUGUAGUGGAGAUGAUGAAGCAAUUGCGGCCUGUCCUUCUAGUCGCUUCGAUCACACUUACUCCAAGCCAACUGAAUAUUAUCAGUGUACGCAGAGCGGGACCAAAAUAACAAGAGGGAGUCAAACUUAUACCACCAUUCAUAAAGUACCCAUACGGGAUUCUGUGGUUGGAGGAAGGAUUUGGAGCUAUGCUAGCACUUUACCUAAUUACUUCGAACUAUCCUUCCCAUCCGAGCUUUCACAGGUUGGAUCUUUGGAGCGCAUUCCUACAUCAACAACGCCAUGUGUGCCAACCCAGAGUCUGGAUGACACUGCAU
Frankliniella occidentalis (western flower thrips) is the source of this 3303-nucleotide long non-coding RNA. RefSeq lists it as uncharacterized. The record is from RefSeq and is a predicted model, not a curated record. The transcript is spliced from 3 exons. Lineage: Eukaryota; Metazoa; Arthropoda; Insecta; Thysanoptera; Thripidae.